RNAcentral lists this ribosomal RNA (509 nucleotides) under uncultured bacterium. RNAcentral's name for it is "partial 16S ribosomal RNA". It matches the Rfam family "Bacterial small subunit ribosomal RNA", at positions 30 to 523 of the family's 1533-position model. The record is from RNAcentral.
AUUGAACGCUGGCGGCAUGCCUAACACAUGCAAGUCGAACGGCAGCACAGUGUGUAGCAAUACACAUGGGUGGCGAGUGGCGGACGGGUGAGUAAUGCGUAGGAAUCUGCCCUUAAGUGGGGGAUAGCCCGGAGAAAUCCGGAUUAAUACCGCAUGUGCUCUACGGAGCAAAGCGGGCCUCUGUUUCAGGCUCGCGCUUGAGGAUGAGCCUACGUCGGAUUAGCUAGUUGGUGGGGUAAAGGCCUACCAAGGCGACGAUCCGUAGCUGGUCUGAGAGGAGGACCAGCCACACUGGGACUGAGACACGGCCCAGACUCCUACGGGAGGCAGCAGUGGGGAAUAUUGGACAAUGGGCGAAAGCCUGAUCCAGCAAUGCCGCGUGUGUGAAGAAGGCCUGCGGGUUGUAAAGCACUUUUGUCGGGAAAGAAAAUCACAGGGUUAAUACCCCUGUGCCUUGACGGUACCCGAAGAAUAAGCACCGGCUAACUCCGUGCCAGCCGCCGCAGUAA